RNAcentral lists this ribosomal RNA (500 nucleotides) under uncultured Pseudomonas sp. RNAcentral's name for it is "bacterial SSU rRNA". It matches the Rfam family "Bacterial small subunit ribosomal RNA", at positions 235 to 733 of the family's 1533-position model. Lineage: Bacteria; Pseudomonadati; Pseudomonadota; Gammaproteobacteria; Pseudomonadales; Pseudomonadaceae. The record is from RNAcentral.
GGGGGAUAGAGGCUUUGGGAAAUGGUCACCAAGGCGACGAUCCGUAACUGGUCUGAGAGGAUGAUCAGUCGCACUGGAACUGAGACACGGUCCAGACUCCUACGGGAGGCAGCAGUGGGGAAUAUUGGACAAUGGGCGAAAGCCUGAUCCAGCCAUGCCGCGUGUGUGAAGAAGGUCUUCGGAUUGUAAAGCACUUUAAGUUGGGAGGAAGGGCAGUAAGUUAAUACCUUGCUGUUUUGACGUUACCGACAGAAUAAGCACCGGCUAACUCUGUGCCAGCAGCCGCGGUAAUACAGAGGGUGCAAGCGUUAAUCGGAAUUACUGGGCGUAUUUCGCGCGUAGGUGGUUCGUUAAGUUGGAUGUGAAAGCCCCGGGCUCAACCUGGGAACUGCAUCCAAAACUGGCGAGCUAGAGUAUGGUAGAGGGUGGUGGAAUUUCCUGUGUAGCGGUGAAAUGCGUAGAUAUAGGAAGGAACACCAGUGCGGGACAAACAAUCCAAA